UACGGAGGGGGCUAGCGUUGUUCGGAAUUACUGGGCGUAAAGCGCACGUAGGCGGCUUUGUAAGUUAGAGGUGAAAGCCCAGGGCUUAACCCUGGAAUUGCCUUUAAGACUGCAUCGCUAGAAUCGUGGAGAGGUGAGUGGAAUUCCGAGUGUAGAGGUGAAAUUCGUAGAUAUUCGGAAGAACACCAGUGGCGAAGGCGACUUACUGGACACAUAUUGACGCUGAGGUGCGAAAGCGUGGGGAGCAAACAGG
RNAcentral lists this ribosomal RNA (253 nucleotides) under uncultured bacterium. RNAcentral's name for it is "partial 16S ribosomal RNA". It matches the Rfam family "Bacterial small subunit ribosomal RNA", at positions 524 to 776 of the family's 1533-position model. The record is from RNAcentral.